AUUUUCAUCUGGAUGUCUGCUUAUAUAUUGAAAGUAUAUAAUUCUUUCAACAGGUACACGGGAAAACGUCUGUCAAAUAAUACAGCCAUAAAGUAAAAACAAAGACAUCAAGGUAGAAAAGGCCACCCCUCAAAAGACAAUCACCAACAGCAAACACUCACAAAAUAGAGAGGAUGUCAUGGCCAGGCUCGACACCAGCCUUGGCCAAACUGUCUGCUUCCCCAUUCACCGAUCUCGGCACAUGCGAAAUUAACCAUCUCUCAUCGCUAACCAGCCUCGUAAAUGAGAGAAUAAGCUCUUUGAGAACACUCAGGGCUCUGCUAAGACUUUGAAACCAUUCCACUGCAACCUUGCUGUCAGACUCGAUGAUAAGUUUAUGGGACAUACACCAACUCGAAGCCUUAACAUGUUCUGGUGAAGUUAGAUUUUCUAAAUGGAGUGGUAGG
This 446-nucleotide long non-coding RNA is filed under the name Gossypium barbadense (sea-island cotton). RNAcentral's name for it is "long non-coding RNA (GBAR_LNC019398)". The record is from RNAcentral. Lineage: Eukaryota; Viridiplantae; Streptophyta; Magnoliopsida; Malvales; Malvaceae.